GCCCUCUUAGCUCAUUGGUAGAGCGUUUGCCUAGUAAGCAAAAGGUAGCAGGUUCGAUCCCUGCAGGGGGCA
RNAcentral lists this transfer RNA (72 nucleotides) under Dissophora ornata. RNAcentral describes it as "tRNA-Thr". It matches the Rfam family "tRNA". From Rfam's summary of the family: Transfer RNA (tRNA) molecules are approximately 80 nucleotides in length. The record is from RNAcentral. Lineage: Eukaryota; Fungi; Mortierellomycota; Mortierellomycetes; Mortierellales; Mortierellaceae. RNAcentral also lists the same sequence under 1 other name.